UUUUGUUUCUCAUGGCCAAAAAAUUCAUAAUUAUUUUAUUUUGCUAUCAAAUUUCCCCUGGCUACAGAAGUACAAGAACUUCUGCACUGAGAAAUGUAUUCACCUUAAAUUAGUUUAACCCUCUUGUGGUUUUUCAAACAAAAAUCCAGCAAUGUGCAAAGGUACAGUUCAUUCAGAGAGAAGCAGAGUGAAACAAGUACUACAGUCUGAAUGCAAAAGCUUGCUUUGGUUUAGUUUUAAACAUUGAGGAAAUUAAUUGCUGAUGAACCAUACUAGUGCAUCACUUGAAUUACAUUUUAUCGCAAAAGUAGAAGCAGCAAGUUCUGCUUUCCCAGCUGUAAAUCAGCCUCACUAGUGAUAUACAGCUGUACAGAGGAAGCUGAAUUAUGGUUGUAGCAAACUAGGAAAAUGCCUAUAUUAUCUUUUGUGAAUAUUACUUAUAGAUCUCCUUUAUUUAUUUGUGUAUCACUUGCUGCAUGGUUGUAUAAGAAGUUUGAGGAGAUGAGGCAUCCUUUGUUGUCCAGCUUCUUCAGAGUUCAAACAAGGACUUGGUUCUUUGCUUAGACCGGUUCUCUCUAGGCAACAAUAAGGAUUACAUUUUGAAUCUCUUAGAACAGAGUGGGACUUGGUUGAGCUGGAAGAGGCUGGCUGUACAAGAGAAAGCUUCUGUGCUUGCAGAGCCUCAAGAAUUGUUGAGUGAUUGUUGGAGCUCAGUGAAGGUGUAGUGAGCAGAAUAGCUGUGGAGCACUCAGACUCAAAUGCAGGAGCACUAACCAGACAUGAGUCUGAAAUAGCACUUUGC
This is a long non-coding RNA of Neopelma chrysocephalum (saffron-crested tyrant-manakin), 802 nucleotides long. RefSeq lists it as uncharacterized. NCBI's taxonomy places the organism in Eukaryota, Metazoa, Chordata, Aves, Passeriformes, Pipridae. The transcript has 2 exons. The record is from RefSeq and is a predicted model, not a curated record.